AAAAUUUCUAACCCAAAAAUAUGAGGUACAACGAUUAAAAAGUAUGAAUUACUGGUGAAAUGUACGUAAUAUUGAAAUAUACGUGAGAUUUUUUGGAAUAUUGUGUCAAAAAUUGUGUUUUCAAAAUUUUUUGCCCUUGUUUUGGUGAAUUAAGGUCCCAGAAAAAAAUUUCGGAAACGAAAUAUUAAUUAGUGAUUGCCCUUACGUCAACAUUGCCCCCCUAUGCCCUACCCUCGCUCCGGCCUCCCUGCUUGUAAGCUUUUUCAGUAAUUCUUGUAUGUACAUAUUCAAUGUAUCAUGAACAUGGCCGCCGAGAGGUUCAACGCUCAGCCCGGGCCAAAACUUUUCAAAGACCCGCUAUGAUGUCAUAAUUGUAAAAGGGGAGAAGCGUGUUUCACAAUAUAUCACAG
Non-coding RNA from Paramuricea clavata, 410 nucleotides. NCBI's taxonomy places the organism in Eukaryota, Metazoa, Cnidaria, Anthozoa, Malacalcyonacea, Plexauridae. The record is from the annotation of a GenBank genome assembly.